Lingula anatina is the source of this 514-nucleotide long non-coding RNA. The record is from RefSeq and is a predicted model, not a curated record. NCBI's taxonomy places the organism in Eukaryota, Metazoa, Brachiopoda, Lingulata, Lingulida, Lingulidae.
AUCUUAUUUAUGUGAACAGUAUCAAGUAUAAUGGUGGGGAUAGUGCGUACACGGCCACAGCCAAACAGAUAUCUGAUGUGUGCAGAGAAACUUUGGCAGAGAAUGAAGAACACCUCCUUCAACUUGAGGAGGGGAUUCGUGCAGCUCAAGAGGCAGCUUUGGAUGCCGUGGAAACGGAUAGUAUCAUGACCAGGUCUUCUAUGAAUGAUACCUCUAUGAUGGGUGCGGACAAUGAAAGUAUAGAUAGUUACAGUGUGAGAGAGAAUAUUACCAUAGUAGAAGACAGUCAUAUGCAGGCAGACGACAGCAAGUUUGAGAUGAUGGAAGAAGAAGAAGACCGCAAAUUUGGAGAUGAAUCACAAAUGGAUACUCCUGAUGGAAACAAGAAUUUGAGAUGACCAAUCACCCGAGCCUGGUCGCUAUGACAACAGCAUGCAAGACUCGCAGUCAGCGUAUGACAACGCAGACAUGCCUCAGUACUACUUUGACAACCAAUCAGGGCUCAAUAGUCGAA